Molecule: non-coding RNA, 97 nt
Organism: Eucalyptus grandis
Lineage: Eukaryota; Viridiplantae; Streptophyta; Magnoliopsida; Myrtales; Myrtaceae
Source: Rfam
CGGCUGCAGCUAGAUCCAACGCCUCAGAAGUUGCCUAACUGGCCGGCCGCCGUUCAAAUCGCCGACGACACUUCUGCUCACCGAACUUCUCAUGUUC